CGUCAACGAAUGCAAGGUGGAACAAAGUAUAACCGAAAGAACCGCGUUUUUCUGUGCAAUUGGAAUGAUGAGGAUCCUGGAAAACAUUCACGACUGUGGCAUUAUUCAUGGUGAUGUCAAACCAGAUAAUUUCGUUGUUCUCGAAGACAAUGUUGGCAGCGAUGAAGAAUUAUGCCGACUUGGAUUGAUCGAUUUUGGAUGUGCCAUUGAUCUGGAGCUAUUCCCCCGGGUACGCGUUUCAGUGUUGGCAAAAAUACUGAGUCAUUCGAAUGCAUUGAAAUGAGAACUCAAAGACCUUGGACAACUCAGGUGGACACUUACGGCAUGCUAUGCAGUUUACAUUGUCUGAUAUUUGGUGAUUACAUGAAGGUUUACCAAGAAACGACGACUGGUCGUUGGAAGACUACGAAAUCCUUU
Molecule: long non-coding RNA, 417 nt
Organism: Dendronephthya gigantea
Lineage: Eukaryota; Metazoa; Cnidaria; Anthozoa; Malacalcyonacea; Nephtheidae
Exons: 3
Source: RefSeq, a predicted model, not a curated record